AACCCCAGAGACUGGUGGCUUGGUUACAUUUAACAAAUGCCAAGCAAUGGCUUCUUAGGUUUU
RNAcentral lists this microRNA precursor (63 nucleotides) under Octopus vulgaris (common octopus). RNAcentral describes it as "Ovu-Mir-12546_pre stem-loop". Lineage: Eukaryota; Metazoa; Mollusca; Cephalopoda; Octopoda; Octopodidae. The record is from RNAcentral. RNAcentral also lists the same sequence under 1 other name.